Molecule: unclassified non-coding RNA, 329 nt
Filed under: soil metagenome
Description: partial contains 5.8S ribosomal RNA, internal transcribed spacer 2, and large subunit ribosomal RNA
Rfam family: 5.8S ribosomal RNA (bases 1-120)
Source: RNAcentral
GAUGAAGAACGUAGCGAAAUGCGAUAAGUAGUGUGAAUUGCAGGAUUCAGUGAAUCAUCGAAUCUUUGAACGCACAUUGCGCCCCUUGGUAUCCCGAGGGGCAUGCCUGUUCGAGCGUCAUUUCACCACUCAAGCCUGGCUUGGUGUUGGGCGACGUCCUCUUUGGGGACGCGCCUCGAAACGCUCGGCGGCGUGGCACCGGCUUUAAGCGUAGCAGAAUCUUUCGCUUUGGAAGUCGGGGCCCCGUCUGCCGGAAGACCUGCUCGCAAGGUUGACCUCGGAUCAGGCAGGGAUACCCGCUGAACUUAAGCAUAUCAAUAAGCGGAGGA